AGAUGAACAUGGAUGAGAGCCCUGCCAAGACGGUGCAUCAGUGGGGGCGCUGGCUAAUGUGUGUGCUCAGUAGAGCGAAGCUGUCUCCUGUGCCUGGAUGAAAACUUAAGCAGCCUGAAUGACUUUCCCCACGAUGUUUAGGAACUGAAAAAAGAUGAAGUCAGGAAAUGCAGAUGGAAAGGUUCUCCUAGAAAUCUCCACUGGAACACACCAGGCCUGGUGGAACAUUCUCGACAAGGCACUAACAGCUGAAUACACCACGCGCCCAUCACACCAGGUUUGGGCUUCCCAAAGGUCACGGAACUGCUGAAAAAUCGAACAUUUUCACUUCAAAUUUUGG
Choloepus didactylus (southern two-toed sloth) is the source of this 340-nucleotide long non-coding RNA. RefSeq lists it as uncharacterized. The transcript has 3 exons. The record is from RefSeq and is a predicted model, not a curated record. Lineage: Eukaryota; Metazoa; Chordata; Mammalia; Pilosa; Megalonychidae.